UAGGGAAUCUUCGGCAAUGGGGGGAACCCUGACCGAGCAACGCCGCGUGAGUGAAGAAGGUUUUCGGAUCGUAAAGCUCUGUUGUUAAGGAAGAACGAGUGUGAGAAUGGAAAGUUCAUACUGUGACGGUACUUAACCAGAAAGGGACGGCUAACUACGUGCCAGCAGCCGCGGUAAUACGUAGGUCCCGAGCGUUGUCCGGAUUUAUUGGGCGUAAAGCGAGCGCAGGCGGUUAGAUAAGUCUGAAGUUAAAGGCAGUGGCUCAACCAUUGUAGGCUUUGGAAACUGUUUAACUUGAGUGCAGAAGGGGAGAGUGGAAUUCCAUGUGUAGCGGUGAAAUGCGUAGAUAUAUGGAGGAACACCGGUGGCGAGAGCGGCUCUCUGGUCUGUAACUGACGCGGAGGCUCGAAAGCGUGGGGAGCGAACAGG
RNAcentral lists this ribosomal RNA (429 nucleotides) under Bacteroidota bacterium. RNAcentral's name for it is "Bacteroidetes bacterium partial 16S ribosomal RNA". It matches the Rfam family "Bacterial small subunit ribosomal RNA", at positions 355 to 776 of the family's 1533-position model. Lineage: Bacteria; Pseudomonadati; Bacteroidota. The record is from RNAcentral.